AUGUGUGAUUGUUCAACAACCACAACCUCUGCACCUCACUGUCAACCACAUGCAAGCUUCCUCCUUGCUUUAGGUGAGAGCAUUGAUUUCAUCGCCUUUUUAGCUUGCUCAGGUUGCAAGUUUGAUAGGUUUCCUCAACCCAGGUUUGGAACCCCUUUGAUUUUGGUUCCUUGCUACAACUCUGUACAUAAUUUUGUUUCUUUGUCACAAUUUAAUCGAUCCAUUUUUAGCUACAAAUGCUUAUCUACUACCCCUGUAAAAGGAAGAGAGGGGGCAGAUCCAAAUAACCAGAAUCGUUUAUCUAGCCGAUCCAAGGGUCUAAAACAUCUCUGUGUUUAA
RNAcentral lists this ribosomal RNA (339 nucleotides) under Triticum aestivum (bread wheat). Its description in RNAcentral is "partial small subunit ribosomal RNA". Lineage: Eukaryota; Viridiplantae; Streptophyta; Magnoliopsida; Poales; Poaceae. The record is from RNAcentral.